RNAcentral lists this ribosomal RNA (303 nucleotides) under uncultured bacterium. RNAcentral's name for it is "partial 16S ribosomal RNA". It matches the Rfam family "Bacterial small subunit ribosomal RNA", at positions 507 to 809 of the family's 1533-position model. The record is from RNAcentral.
AGCAGUAGCCGCGGGAAUACGUAGGUGGCAAGCGUUGUCCGGAAUUAUUGGGCGUAAAGGGCUCGCAGGCGGUUUCUUAAGUCUGAUGUGAAAGCCCCCGGCUCAACCGGGGAGGGUCAUUGGAAACUGGGAAACUUGAGUGCAGAAGAGGAGAGUGGAAUUCCACGUGUAGCGGUGAAAUGCGUAGAGAUGUGGAGGAACACCAGUGGCGAAGACGACUCUCUGGUCUGUAACUGACGCUGAGGAGCGAAAGCGUGGGGAGCGAACAGGAUUAGAUACCCCUGUAGUCCCUGUCUCUUAUAU